Sus scrofa (pig) is the source of this 14412-nucleotide non-coding RNA. The record is from RefSeq and is a predicted model, not a curated record. Lineage: Eukaryota; Metazoa; Chordata; Mammalia; Artiodactyla; Suidae.
AAGACAUAUGGUAGCAUCUACCUUAUAGGAGUGAGUUUAUAAAUAAAAUUAUCUUAGAAGUGUGUAGCACACACUUAGUACUCAGGAAAUGUUGACUGUUAGUAUUACUAUACUUAUUGUUACUAGGAGAAUGACCACAGCUUUCAUGAGGUUUUGUCAGUAGCUCUAUAAGAAAAGUAAGGAGGAAUUAUUCUAACUCAUGACUUGAGAAUGAUGAGCAAAGGGCUGAGCAGAAUGAAAGUGACCUCGUGGCAGAAGCUUCCUACCCUUUGGUGUCGUGAUGAUUCUGCACAAGCACACACAGACACACGUGGUAAUGGAGGACGUCACGAUCAGUCUCAGUGUUAACCUUCAAAGUUUCCCUCCAGGGGAGUGCUAAGCCCUGGACUGCAGCAAGCAGGCUGAGCGAAGUCCUUGGGUCUGCGAAGAGUACCUUCCUAGUUAUUCCAGGAAUCUUGCUGGUCCAUACUCGUCCCUUUAUCACCACCACGUGCCCGCAAUGAUGUGGUGAAGUCUUAGUCUCUGUCAGUGGUGGUUCAAGAUCCAAAACUGAAACCCGAGCAUCUGCAACCUCAGCUCCAGCCUUCCUACCUGCCGUCCUUCCUACGCAGAAGUUGGAACAUUCUCUGAAAAGGCAACUGGUCUGCGAUAAAUUCUGUGACAGCAAAAAUGAUUUUGAAGAGCAUCCUGGCUUUUAAAGGAAUUUUCUCACCCUCCCCCCCGCCUCCUCCUUUUUUUUCCCUCCUCUUCUUCAAAGAUUCUCCUCAUUACUGGGAAAUCCCUUCCGCACACUUGUUUUCUAUUUUUUUCCAUGGGAAAAGACUUCUCCAGUUCCACCAAUCAAAGCUAAAAGCUCUUACCUUAGGGGGAAAAAGAUCUUCAUCUCCAAGGGGGUUUUAAUGUAGGCUUUCUGCACCAUGUGGGUUAUAUAAGCAGUGACUGGAAACUUGCUUCCAUGCUCUACUCUACCUGUGCUGAUACACAGAACCAAGCCGCACUGUUAGCACUCACAACCAAAUUUCCACUUGCAACUAGUAAUUUUUCUGCCAGCAAACAUAUUUGACUGGGUUUAUCAGUGCUCAGGUGACUAGCGGUUUACUCCUACUGCAUCCGCUAUUAAAUAAGACACUAUUUCGUGGCUCAAAACAACUAUAAUUAGGUUUCAGUCUUUUUUUAAAAUUUAAUUUUAUUGGAGUAUAGUUGAUUUACAAUGUGGUAUUAGUUUCAGGUGUACAGCAAAGUGAAUCAGUUAUACGUAUUGAGUAGAUUUCCCUUUGCCAUACAGUAGGUUCUCAUUACCCAACUAUUUCAUACUAUACUGUGUAUGUUAUUCCCAAUCUUUUAAUAUUGAUGGUUGUUCAGCCCUUGGUUGUGUCUUUGGUGUGCUCAGUGAGAGGAGGUGACUCAAGGUCCUUCUACGCUGCCAUCUUGUCUCCCAAGCCUCUCAGAGAAACUAAAACUAAACAUGAAAGAAUCAUUCCUGUCGCUACACAUCAUUUGAACGCACCCACGGGGUACAACAUUUUUGCAUCUUGGUCAGUGAGCUGUAUCAAGUUUCAGAUGUACCACUGUAUAUGCUUCAGUUGUGAUUAUAAAGUAACUCCUUCUAACCUUCAAAAGCAUGCAGCUUUCCAAGCUGAGUUCCUGACCUGCUGUAAUUACCCCUGGACGGAGUCAGGGGUCCACAGGCCAUGCUGCCCCUGGCAAAUGAAGGAACCAUAUAGGCGUUCCAAGGGCAGCUCUGCAGAAAGUUUUCAAGAGGGUAAGUGGCUUUGACUGUGGAAGCGUCUGAAACUUUGGAGUCAAAUGCUUUCAAAACAGCUGUUUCCCAGUAGUUUGCAUAAGAGUAAAUUGCAUUUCCAAAAAGCACAUUCCUUUCCUUUUGAGGGCUUUUCUUUAUGGUGGAAUACUUAGCUGGAAGAAAGUACCAAAUCAAAGCCAAUUCAUGGAGCUGGGGAAAAAGCCUGCAUUUGUUACUCAGAUUGUCUUUGGCGUUUUCUUCCUACUGAAACUAUUGGAAUACAAAGACAGGGAGUGGCUAAAUUGUUGGGGAACCACUUUCAAUAGGCUUUAGCAAAUAUUUAACAAGGAACCAUGACAUAGACUCAGGAAAAUUGUUACAUAGUUUAAAAAUCAGCAAGAGAACAAUAGUCAAAGUGAUCUGAUUUUUGGAAGGAUUUCGGAGCUGACAGUAAAGCAUAAUAAGGCUGACUUUUAGAGAGAGGAUGAGCAGAUAAUUAGCUGUGGGAGGGAGGGGCCGAGAUUGGAAGAAAUCACACUCCUGGCUGGGGUCCCACCCCUGCAGUGGGGAGGGAACCGAAGGCCACGUGAGGUAAAGGUUCUAGAGAACAGGGAAAGUCCGCAGUCCACAGUGAGCUGGGGGUAGAUUAAAUUGGGUAGAUUAUACCGUAAAAGAUCUUUGGCACAGGACCAAAUACAUGUAACAUUCUAUGCUGCACACGGUGAAUUUAAAACAAGCACACUUUUAAACGCUCUGAAAGAUAACCAAAACAACCCAGCAGAUGGAUCAAUUUACAACUCAAGAAGGCAAGAGAGUAAGAGCCAACCUAUUUAAUCCCCACUGCUCAGCACCAAGACAUUUUCUGGAUGGUGUUUAUGGGGAGAACGAGCCAUUCAUUAGAAAGUACCAUAUACAUAGCUGGGGUAGCAGAGUAAAAUAAAAAGUCAGUGUUUUUCGAUAAGUAAAGAAUAAGAUGAUUUAUACCUGCUGUGGGGAACAGCAAGGUGCAAGGGCCCGGGGCACGGGGAGACCGGCGGGGACAGACUGUGGCUGGGGUGGACAGGUGGGGCUAGGGAGCAGGAUGGCAUCAGGAGGAUAGGGCCUUAUCACUGUUUAAAGAACCAAUGGUUUUACUCUGAGAAUGAUGAGCAGGCACUGAGCAGCUUUGCACCAUGUUGUGAUCACAACUUCCUGACAAAGAACCAUGCCAGGUGCAGUGUAGACAUUAUGGGCAUGGGUGGCAACUGGGGCAGGAUGAAGGUGAUGGCGGCUUGGACCAGAGCCUCUUGUGGAGGUGGUGCAAGGCUGUCUGCACCCACUAGAUCCGCUGGGAGAACUGGAUGCUCUGAGAUGCCAGGAAAGGAGGAGGCAAAGGUGCUGCUAAGGUUUUGUCCUUGACCAGUGAGAAGGACUGUCGUUGGCUGGCACAGGGAAGAGCUACGAGGAGGGUUUCAAGGAGAGAACAAAGGCUUAGUUCUAGAUACAUUGCACUUGACACACCUGGUGCAGGUCCAAGCAGUGAUGCUAAGCAGACAAGUGGGUGUCAGGCAAAGUUCAGGGAACGCACAGCUUUGAUUGAGGGUCACAAUGUUGUCCCCUACGUACUGCCUCCCAUUUCAUGUUGUAGCAACAACACCUGUGCUGUCGGCUUGUCCUUUUGCUCAUCCGAUGUACAACCUGGUGUCUGCCUUGACCACGGUCUUCAAUAAAAGUGACACUAAGCCAUUGGGGUCGUGACUUUGACAGCAUUGUCUUCGGGACCCCACUUGCCACAUUUUCCUGAACCAAAGCUCCCAAUAAACUGGACAUACUGAUCCCCUCGUGAGAAAAGCGGGUCGGGGGGCUUGUUUCUCUCUCUGUUCUCUUUGGAGGAGAUGGGAAUUUGGGCAGACUGCGUGGCACAGGCUUGAUGGAGCUAAUCCUCUUGUUUGAGCUUUUGAUGAUGAUCCAAGUCUUGUUAAUAUAAACUAUUGGAGGCACUGCACGUACUGAGGUUGGAUUAUAAAAAGGAGGAAUUUAAUUACUCGUAAUUAUAGAUAUUAAUUGAAACUUUACCAGGCUGGUAGUGAUGACCUAAUAAGCAUCUUAAGAGUGUGAAUAGGUGUGAGUGAUUGAACUGAAUAUUAGCUACACCUGGACAGCGGCAGGAUGGUUCCACUUUUACUGCAGUAAGUGGGUGUGUAAGGUUUUUUUCUUUCUUAUGAGGAUGCACACAUUUACCUGCCAAUAUAAUUUGAAUGUGAGGAUGGUUUGGACUACUGUUCAUAAACUGGGGAAAAUUUGCUGUUUGUAGUUAUUUGAUAGGUAAUAAUCUGCUUUCUCCCAUCUUUAAACAUUUUUGGGGGUUAGGUUGAUUGACUUAUUUAGCAGGAUUAAUGUGCGUGGGGGAAAACAAAGAAUAGCCAGGAAUGGCUAUGGGUGUUUUUUUUUUUUAAUAUAGAAAAAUAUUGUAGAAAUGAUGAGUAUAAAUUCCAAAGCAGAUGAUUUUCAACGUGGUGGUUCUGCCCAUCUGCAUUCUGGAGCCCACCAGUGACCCAAGCAUGAGAAGUGAACAGCAGGGGUAAAGGUUUAAAUAUCUCCUGAGUCAUUGUGGAGCAUGAUUAGGAAUCAAGGACCUGAGUUUGGCUCUGGUCUCUAGGACUAAUUAAUUCUUUUGCUGUUCCUAGGCAAAUAACUCGGUCGGUUUCUUAGUUUCCUUAUAUUUCAAUGGGUUAAAAAUCUGUGGUUGCCAUCAUGAAAUUUUCUCAAGUGUAAGGUGAAACUUGAGGCCCCAUUUUUGUGAUGCCAGAGGUACUGCUGAACUAAAAUUCUUCAGGAAGUUUUCUCCAAGUCCCAAAAAUUGAGAGUGGGGAGAAAGGGAACAUGGUCUGUCCUGCAGUCCAGCCGUGCACGGAGAACCAGGGAAUGUGAGGACAGUGAGAGAAACAUGAACUCUGAAUUGAUUGGGUUUGAUGUAAUAAUUCAAAUUGUUAACAAGUAACUUGUAUGUAACCUGAGUUGGAUCUGAACUGUAUGCAGCUUCAAUGCCUGAACAGAAGCUUUCGUUCUGCACGCUUGUCUCUCCUUUGCGGCGUUGUGUUGGAGCUAUGCAAGGGUGGAGAAGGAAUCCGGGAAUUUUCCAGUCCUGGUUGUGGUUACAACCAGAACCUGGGCCUGUUACAUGUGGCAGGUGAAGGGAUGGUUUAUGAAGCAGAAAUGCCUGCACCUCCACCAGCCCUAACUGUUAGCUGGGCCAGUUUGCCUGCUUCUGUGGGUCUACCUGGUCCAGGACCGCAGUCCAGACGGCUUCUACUCCGGCCAAAUUGAAUCCACAUGUGGUCCAGCCUUUGCGUCCCCAUCUGGGCCCACAGGUGUCAGUAAUGGAAGUGCCCUCACUCAGCUCCGUGAGCCUCUGUUUCCAUUACUCAAGUCUUGCAGCACGACUUGUUUCCCACGUGUCCACCAUCUUGGGAGCCUGAAACCCUCAGGCCUGCUUCCCUGGGGCCGUGCCUCUAAGGACGCCUGGAUCCCACUGGCUCCUCACAUCUAGACCUGUUCCCCAGUCCUGGUGUCCCUCGGACCCCUGCCUGUUGCUGGUCUCAGGUCUCCUUGACACCUUGCUCUCCUUGAGUUCUAUCACCUGCUUCUAGGGUCCUAGGGGUGGCCUUCGAUCACCAGAUCUGCGCAGUAUGAGGUUCUGGGCCUCCUGGACCAACUCAGUGGGAGCCGGGUUCUAAACUACCUCUGAGCAUGGAGCUCUUUAUUAAAGGUUUUCUCCCCUUCAGAGAAGCCCUUCUCUUUAGGCUCUCCUGUUUCAUGUGGGAAAGGGCUCAAAGCCCUUAGGCAUUGUGUGCAUGGCAGAGGGACCAAGAUCUUUGUGACGGAAAUAAAGCAAAUUGAAUGAACACUUUUCCCCUGAAGACCUCAAAGGAUCCAAAACAACCACCUAACUUUAAACAAUAGUGCAUUCUCAUCAAAAACUUAAUUACACUAGAAAGACACGAUUUGUAAUGACAAGGAACACCGGUCAAGGGUUUGGUAGACAGGGACAUGACAAGAGAAACUAGUUAAUAAUUCUGUAGCUACUAAGUUAGUCCCCACCCCCCACCCCCAAAAAUAAGAGGCAGAAGCAUGGCUUGAUGGUCCCCGGUUACGAAAUGAUCGAGCGAACUUUAACAUGGAAGUUAUGGUCUGCUCUGCUCACCUGAACGCAUUCUUUGAUGUUAAAAGGAUUACUUUUUGUUCCUUUGAAAGGGUGUGGUACACACGGAAUACAUUUCGAAGGGGGCUAUUUUGGGGUGAGCAUAAGUGGAGCCAUAUGUAGUUUGAAAAUCGGUGGAACUGUUUUGAGUGACGUGUGAAUGUACUGAUGAAGAAAUAUUUUUUUCCCCCAAGAUAAGUGGGUUAAAAAGAGAUAUAAAUAGAAUUUGAAAGAAAAACUCAGUUUUACUUCUGUCACAGCCAAAAUGAUAAGAAAACAUAUUUUGUGGAAAAGAUACAUAAAUGCAGAAUUUAGGAUGACAUAUUUAACUAAAUGAACUCAUUAGGAAGUUUUUUACUGCCCCCUGCUGUUAGUUUCUAAAAGAAAUAUAGUCAACUUCCUAUAAAAACUGACUCAAGGUGAAUUAGUUGAACAACCUGGUUUGCAAAAAAAAAAAAAAAAAAAAGAAAGAAAGAAAGAAAAAAAAAAUCCCUGCCUCUAGUUAAUUCCACCACAUUCCAGCCAGAAGGCUGAUGCUUAUUCACGUCUGUGAGUAAUGAUUCGUCAGCGCAAGGAACCAAUCCAGCCAAGUGUGUGCCCCUGGAGGUAGGGUAGGCAGUGAGGUUUGCUCUUUGUGAGAUGCUACAUUCAUAAGAAAGUACCAGUAUUGCAAUUUGUGGCCAGUGAUGUCUCCCUUAGCUUUCUGCUGGAUUUCUUGAUUUUGAAUUUAUUUUUUAUAUUUACAUAAUUUAGGGAAACACUCUUCAUUAAUAAAAGCAACACUUUCCAAAUACGUGAAUGAAUGGCUCAUUUUUCACAGUAUAAUCCACAGUAUCAUGCACUGUUAUUUCCAUUUUGGCAUAUGAAAUGAAGAAGUGAGAGGUCAAAGCAAGGUGACAGUCAGGAGGUGGAAGGCACUGUUGUGGUUUUUUCACAUAUUAUUUUAUUUAGUCAUAAAAUAGAAUGGGGUGGGUAUUACAACCCCCAUUUCACAGAUGAGUAAACUGAGUCACAGAGUAACCUGUUUAGGGACAUGUCUGGUAGAAGGUAGAGCUAUGGUGGGAAACCUCCUGCAGCCUGACCCCAAGGUCACUCCUCUUAACCUCUUUGCACAGAAUGUAGAGAUGCUGCAAUGACAGAGGAAGAAGGCACGAAAAUUGCAGGGGCUGUGGCGGUGUCAGCAUUUAGUGACCCCACUAACCGCACACCCUCAUCUGCCGUUUUUCUGCCGUCCACCUUCUUGUGGCCAGACAACAGGCUUGUCCAUGGCCAGCCUGGUGUCUCUGUAGGAAAGUUCUAUGGCACUAAGUGUGGUUCACUCGGUGUGGUGAGCAUGUUCCCCAGGGAGCCUGUGCCUCAGAUCAGACACACAGUGGGGCUGAGUUUGGGGUUGGCCCCCGCACACCCAUACCUGUGGACAACUUCCAGUCUCAGCCAUGCUUUCAACCAUCUCCAGCAACACACACUCUUCACAGUACAUGAAGACAUUAGUUGCGCAUCUUAAGUUUCUUGGCUGCUUUCGUUUUGGGGUCCCUUACGACAACCUGCUUGUGCUCUUGCCUUGCCUGCCCCGUCCUUGCUCCCCACCACCUCGCCCCCUAGUCCGCAACACUAGUCCAUGAAGACAGAUCCAUCUGCCAAGGACAACCAGCACAGCUAGCACUUGCUAUCCUGGCACGCCUUUGCCUUGCAGGCACUUGAAACCUCACUACCUUAGGCUCUAGAGAGCUAACUACACAGGAAAUGAAACAGCACAUAAGACAUUAACCUGCUUAAACGCAUUUGCCUCCUUACAUAGGUGGUGGAUUGAUCACGCCUGGAAUUAUUUUACAGAGACAGCACUUCUCAUCUGUAGGAGGGGAACCCACAUCUCCAGGAUGACCUGGAAUCAAGAAUCUUCAAUCCACGGAGCUCAAAUAAAAAUGCUGUCAUUGGUGCCAUUCCAAAUCAAGAAGCCCUUCAAGAGGGAAAACCUGGCUUCCAGCAGCCCGAGGAGCUUACAUGGAUGGAUGAGCAUGUCAGCCCUCAAGUCUGAAAUCCCCAUAACCCCGAAAUUCUGCCCUGAACCCUGGAUAGGGUGAUGGAUUUGAGCCAUGCUUCCUGUCUCCCUGCUGGUCAACAUCACAAUGAAGUGCUUUCUUGUCUCAAAAGCUGCUGCCAUAGUUUUGAUUGUCAUGCGCUUUGGGGAAUAAGACCUUGCUUGAUAACAUUUUGCGGCAACCAUGAAGAGACCCGGGUCUUGUGACCACCUGUCUGCAGCUCUACAAUCCCCCCGACCCCAGGAGUGGGGGUAUUGCCCUCAUCACUAACCCUGCAUGGCCACCUAGACUGAACAUGACCAGAGGGGGCUGCUGGGUUCCCGUCCCCAGCAGGGGCUCCAGGCUCCUUGUGCUGCUUUUGCUUUUGAAGAAAGUGCUCCUGGAUCAGAUGUCUUUUGGAUGACUAACAUCGUUAAAACACAAAUGUGCCUAAAUUGUCUAAUAACCUCCUCCCAAACCACGGGUUAAAGUCCCAGAGUCUUGGAUUUCUUUGUCCAUGUUGCUACAUGUCUCUUUUAUUCAUUAGGAUUGGCUAACGGGGGUAGGCUCUUGGAUGACUGUACCAAAGCUUUAUUACCUGAUUUAAUGAGGGUCCUCUGACUCAUUGCUCCCUAACUGGAAACCUUGCCUCACAGAAAGGUCAGGUUUUCUUCCCGUGAUGUGCAGUGGUUUCACAGGAGUCCACCCAGAAGAAUAUACUCUGUGCCUGGGUUAUAGAAAUUCCCACCAAGACACCGCCUUGGUCAUCCUGAGAGAGACCUUUCAAAUGGGGAAUGUUAAUAAUAUAUCUGAUUGUAGUACCUUCAUAUGUAAAUUUUGAAGAAUUUCAAAAUUGGUCAAGGUUUAACUAUGAGCCAAUGGAAAAGAAGAAAAUGAUUUUCUCUUAUAACACUGCUUGGCCCCAGUAUCAGCUGAAGUAAGGCAGAAUGACCAGAGAAUGGGUCUUUGAACUAUGAUACUAUUUCACAAACAGACAUGGGUUGUAAGAGAGAGGAAAAAAUGGGGUGAAAUCCCAUACAUGCAAUCAUUUAUAUCUUUAUAUCAGAAUAAGAAUUUGCAGAAGAGAUGUAAAAUUGUGGUUCAGAGGAAAGAACCCCAGAAAAAGCCUGUUUCACCCGAGUCACAGCCUAAAGAUGAUCCUAACCUACUAUGUCUAGCACCUACAUCAGCCCCUCUUGCAGCCUCCCCACUUCAUGAAGGGGUCUUCCUGUAGGCAGUAUAGAGGGUCCUACCAGCCGUACAGAACUGCUGGUCCAGCUCUGUACUACCCUUACCAGAUGGGCACAAAGGAACACUCUCUCCUCUCCAGACCCACCAGGAUGCUCAGCAUGGCCCAGGGAACAUUCUACCCCAAGCAGGGCAUUUCUGUUAAGGCAGCUCCCCUCCUUUAUCAGCCUUGGAUUUACGUAAUUAGAGAAAUAAUAUGCCAUCUUAUGGAGAUGAUCCUAAGAAAAUGGAGAAUCUCAUUACUCUGUUUUGCUUCUCAUCACCCUAACUGGGCUGACAUACAGGCCCUCACAAAUACCCUCCUCUGGAGGGAUGUUGGAUGGUGUUACAGAAGACCACUGGGAAGCUGAGAGGCUCCUGGCUCACAACCAAAUAAUCCAUUCAGGACUCUGGGGGCACAGGCCAUCCCUAGAGCUGACCCAGGAUGGGACUCCCAUGACCCAGGAGACUAAGCAAGGCUGAAUCAUCACGAGGAAUGUUUAAUAGCCAGGCUUCCAAAGGGACCCCAAGCCAAAGAGCUUGAGGAAGAAUCAGACGGUACAGCAAGGACCCCAGAGAACCCAUCCACUUCCCUUCAGGGUUUUUGAGGCUUACAGACAAUGCAUGGUGCCUGCUUGAAUGCCCUGUUCCCUUGCUGGGGUGACAUCUACUAACAGAGCUAAAUGCCCUCCAGAUGCCCUCUAAGUUGAACCAUUAGAACUGGAGACAAGCCUCACCCAGGAGCCCCUGCUGAAACUCCACAGAAGGUGAGAGCUGACAUGUGGGCUGACGAGAAGCCAGCAGAGCCAAGGCAGCUGACCCAGUGGUAGUAAAACUCCGUCCAGGGGCUGAGGCUCCAAGUUGAAAGCAACAGCCAUUAAAGAGGUAUUUGGAGGAAGGUAUAAAGCCUCUGACAAUCACCUUCUUAAAUGUCAACCAUUCCCACCUUGUCAAGGCCCAUGUAACAUCCCAUCCUGUCAGUACAGAAAACUCACGGCCAGAGAUGACUGUUAGUAUAGGAUUCGAGGACCAAUCACCAGAUUGUACAGGAUAUGUGUCUGGUGGUGCCAAACCCUUAUACUCUGGUUACAACUUUAUGUGGAGACUUCGGUGGGUUUGUAACUCUGGACUUAAAAGAUACCUUUUACUCCAUUCCCCUAAGUGCUAUGUCCCAGGAGUUUGCCUUAGAAUGGGAUGCUCCAGAGACGGAUGGAAAACACAAUGUGGCUGGAUAGUACUCCCGCUAGGAUUUAAGACUGCCCCCCGCCCCCAAUCUUCAGAGAAGAUCUAGGACUUGAUCGCUGAUGAGGGAGUCUCACCCCAACAUGUGGAUGGUAUACUAACUGCCAACAAGAAAGCUUAAGACCAAAAUGCAACCCCUGCUCUAGACAUUCUGCCAGCCUGGAGAUACAAGUUCUCCAAGGAAAAAGUGCCAAUUUCCUAACCAACUGCAAAAUAUUUAGGAUCUGAGUCAUCUAAAGGACAAAGAAACAUACUGCCAGAUGGAAGAGAAGCACUAGCCAGGGUGACUGUACCCACCACCAGAAGGCAGUUUUGAGGAUCCUUAGGAAUGGCUGAGUUGUCAUAAGUGGAUUCCUGGCUUUGGACUCAGAGUUGAACCCCUGUAAGAGGCUCCUAAAGGAAAUGGCACACGUCGUGGACCCCGGCUGCCAUAAUGUGCUCCACACCAUCAGGAGAAACUGAACCGCUCAGCACUUGGUUGCCCAGAUGUUUUUGUGCAUGAAAGACAGGGUGUUGAGUGUUGUAGACUAAUUCAGAGUUUAGGUGCCACCAGAAGGCCAGUAGCUUACAUUUCCAAACAACUGGGCAUGAGACUCAAGGGUGGCCAGUUUGCCUCUGUGGUGUUCCUACCACCGUGACCUUUUACAAGAGGCUGAAAAGUGCCCCCUGGGCCAGCCUCCCACUGUGCACACCAUACUUGAACAGAAGGGCAGGUGUCAGCUUACUUUGGGAGGCUGUGCAAAUACUUGAGGCACUGAAUGUAACGCGAAAGGUGGUGUCCAUUCUAAGCUCAACAUUCCUCCCCAAGAUGACAGGAGAGCCUGUUCACCCCUGUGUACAAACAGUUGAAGAGCAUGCGACCUGGCUGAUGAGCCUUGGAAGGAUCUGGAUGUGGAAGUGUUCAUAGGCUGGGCUGAGCAGAGGUAACUCACCAGGAAUCCCAGAAGCAGAAUGCCCCACCUCUGCCCGCCAGCAGAUCCGUCUUCCCAGAGGGCAGACCUCAUAGCUCCCACAGAGUCCCGCACUGUGCAGCUAAGGAAAAGGGGACCAUUUACACAGAUUCCAAGUUUGCCUUCUCUGUCAUUUGUGUGUAGGUGGCCAUAUGGAAAGGAGGUCUACUGGAUUCAGGAGGAAAACAAUCAGAGGGGGUCCUGGCCUUAUCAGACUCCGUUAGAAUGCUGGGAGAUACAGCCAUAGGACAUUGCCUGGGCCAUCAGAAGACUGAUAAUUACACAACUGAAGGGAAUCAUUUGGCUGAUCAGGCACCAAAGCAGGUGGCCAGAACUAAACGCCAGAUCCUAAGACCAACCACCUGUUCUGAGUGUGGACCUAUCCCUGGGUAAGCCUCAGCUUUGGAAAUGGAUUCUGAGAGAGCAGCCACGUGGGGGUUUCAUGGUGACUCUGGAGACCGAGGUGGUGAUCAGCACCAAACACCCCACAGGCUGGAUUUAAGAUGAGCAAGGACUAGUGCUCAUACCUGAGCACUUCAUGGAAAGAAUUAUCACUCAUCUACAUGGAGGGAGCAUCAUCAGGAGGAGGCAACCCAUCACUCACUGGCUACAGAAAUUUACUGUUGGUCCACAAAUGCAAAGGACCAGUCAAAGGAUAAAACAAAGUUGCCUGAUCUGUGCCAGAAACAUCCUAAAACCUGGCUACCCCCCAUACCAAAAGGGGUGCUGACCCGAGGGGCAGAACCAGGGGAUGACUGACAGAGAAGAUGCUCUUCUGCCAGGAGCUGGGGACAUGGUAGAUAUUUGCUGGUGUUCUUGACACCUUUGCAGAAGGGGCACAGGCUAGGCAGAGAAAGCUUCUGGGUGCAGGCUAGGCAGAGAAGGCUUCUGGGAUUUGCCUCUUUCAAGCCAAAGUGACGGUGGAGGCGCUUUAGCAGCCAAGGUGACUCCAGGAGGUCUGGGGCCCUUGGACCAGACACGAUGGAAGCUCAUGCUCCCUGGGGACCUCCUAUAACAGGGCAGGGCCCUCCCCCACAGGGUCUGCUCCAGCUCCUCCUGAAGCACCCAGAUGACAGUAUCUGAUGCACAUUCCUGAGUUGCUUCACAGAUGCUAAAAUCCCCACCAAAGGGAAGAUGUUAACUAGCUGAUGACCAGGAGCACAUAAAAUGUUAACCCCUGUGACAUAGCCCUGUGACCUUACCAUCAGCCAAUCAGAGGAUAGUGUGCAAGCCAGUCACUUACCCUGUGACCCCUCCCCCGUCUUUAAAAAUGCUAUACGAUUUUGUUCGGGGAGUUUGGGGUUUGUGGGACACAAACCACCAGUCUCCCUGCCUGGCUCUGCAAUAACCUGGCUCCAAACUGUAUUGUUUGGCCUCACUGUGUGUCCAGCCCACGCACUUGUAUUUAGUAACUCUCAGUCUACAGGGAAGGGGGAAAGGAUGAGUCACUCCUUUAAAAAGAUAGUAGCCAGAAUAGGCCAAGAAACCAACAUAACUUGGAUAAGGUUUUACCAACUGCCCCCACUGAGGGGCAGAGCAGCCCUGGAAGCAGCCCCAGUUAAGCACUUACUGUUCUGUGGGCAACCUUCCUUAAGACGGAGUACCUCUGUGUCUUGAAACUGUUCACAUGGCAACAAACAAACAAGAUAUGAUAAAAUGUGCACAACUCUUGGUGCCAUCUUAUCUUCUACACAGGUAUGUGCUUCUAGUCCCCUCACAUUUCUGGUGGAUGUCCCCCUGAGCUGCACAAGCUAGGGACCGGUGCUCCUUUGAACUUGGACAAACCAGCCACUUGAGGAUCAAUGUCACCCCAUGGGAUGUGGAAUGACCCUAUUGCGUCCUUCAGGUCACUUUCUCCAGUAAAGCUGAGUCACGCCUUGGGUAACCACUCCCAGGGAACUUAAAUCACAGGAAAACUUGUCAAAGGAAAAUAGGGCAGCUAAGACACCCCCUGGCCAGGAUGAGAAGGAAACAGACAUCUCGAAAGUAGACUGUUUCUGUCCAAUAGUUUGGACCAGGCCUACGUAAAUCCAAAUUCAAUCACCAAAAUGUUAAAAAACACCACGUUUUCAUGGAUCCCCAAAAGAUUACGGUCUGUUUUCAAAGGACUGUUAAAAUCUGGGAGUCACAGUUCCGUGCAUCUUACACUUAAUCCUUUUAUUCAUUCAAAUUCAUACUUACUACCUCACCAUUCAUAUGCUGAUUGCUCAGACUUAGGAGUUCAAGGUGGAUCUCCGGAAUUUUUACAAAUAACUGCACAAUAAUUUCAUUUCCCUUAUAAAAACCUAGGCCCUCAUCAGCAAGAAGCAGAUAGACCAGGCUUUACCCCAAGACGGAGGACCUGACAAAGUGAAGCACGUAGGACAUCUACCAGCUGAAGCUGAUUUGCCACCAGAGAUUGCGUAAGCCGGGAAUUACUUUACCCAGGGCCCUGCACAUGCGCAAGGCGGGAACCGCGCCUCCAGGAUGACACUAACCGAGCAUCCUCAGUCCACCGACUGCCAAAAACAGAAACGCUGCCACCUGAGCCCUUCUGCAGGCGGGGAUCCUUCAAUGAGGGAAACCUGACCUCCAGCAGCCUGAGGCGCUUACAAGAGCUGAUGAGCAAGGCAGCUUCCAAUCUUGAAGUUCCCUAAACCCUUAAAUUCCACCCUGAUCCUGGGAUCCCAGACGGACUUGAGCCGUCCCUCUCCUCUCCUUGCUGGCCGACCUGGCAAUAAAGUGCUUUCUUGUCUCAAAAGUCAUGGCCACAAUAUUGGCUCCCAUGUGUUUCAGGCAGCCCGCCCUUGCUCGGUAACAGAAUCUUCUUUCACAGGCACGUAAGACCAAAAACCCACGCCAAUCAUCUGCUCGGUAACAAAAGACUCUUACCUGACCCGAGGAGCUGGGGUUCCGGUGACUCUGCAUUCCAGCCGAGAGCCCAGGAAAGAAGUCCGCGGUGUCGCCGUCGUCCUGCACAUCCGACAGGGAGUCGUAGAAGGAGUCGUGGGAGGAAGUCUCAGACAUGGUGGGGCCGCACUCGUGCACUCUGUCCACUUCCCACCGGAGGCCAGG